GACGAACGCUGGCGGCGUGCCUAACACAUGCAAGUCGAGCGACGCCCUUCCUUCGGGGAGCUGACGGAGCGGCGAACGGGUGAGUAACACGUGGGUAACCUGCCCCCAGCUCUGGGACAACACCGGGAAACCGGAGACAUACCCGGAUACGACAUCGAGCGUAAUCUCUCGAUGUGGAAAGUUUUUUAUGCUAGGGGUGGGGACGCGGCCUAUCAGCUUGAUGGUGGGGUGAUGGCGCACCGAGGCGACGACGGGUAGCCGGGCUUAGAGGGCGACCGGCCACACUGUGACUGAGACACGGGCCAGACUCCUACGGGAAGGGGCAGUGGGGAAUAUUGCGCAUAGGGCGAAAGUCUGACGCGGCGACGCGGCGUGAGGGAUGUCGGCCGUGGAGUAAUAGACCUCUGUCAGCAGGGACGAAUUCAGACGGUACCUGCAGAAGAAGCACCGGCCAACUACGUG
RNAcentral lists this ribosomal RNA (462 nucleotides) under uncultured bacterium. RNAcentral's name for it is "partial 16S ribosomal RNA". It matches the Rfam family "Bacterial small subunit ribosomal RNA", at positions 28 to 507 of the family's 1533-position model. The record is from RNAcentral.